CUGUUUCUCUUUGUGAGUGCACUUCCCUCUCUGCAGUGAUCUAUGGUGCUCAAGAAAGGAUUUUUAAAUUGACAGGCUGAAAGAUACUAGCACCCGGGAGAGUUUAUUAAACCCACAGCCAAUGAACUUGGUUCAGCCAAUGCCUUUAAAAGAAUGAGUGUCUGAAAAGCUGCAGGGCACUGUAUCGUUUUAGCACUGAAAAAUGAGACAGAGAUUUUGAACAGUGUGAAAUGGACAUUCUGUUCUGUAGCCAAAAGUGUGUGUGAAAGAGGAAGAGAUUUUUGCCAGUGGAAGAAUGGAGAAGAAAAUAUGAACAGGGACAAAUUUAUUGGUGUGGCCACACUAUGAAGUAAUUUGGCAGCAUGCUGUUCUGAAAAGGGAUUGGAUCCUGGGAGAGAGGAGUGAAUUCGAAUCCUACUCCUUACUAGCUCUCAUCUGAAGUUUCUACCAGUGUUUUCUAUGGCUAGGCGACUUCCUUCCAGCUCUUGGACUUACAGGCCAAGCAGUACAGUUUGGGCACUAGGAUUGGAUGAGACUGAAGCUGGCAAAGCGCACUGCAGACUCGACUCUGUCAUUCAAAGGCCUCUCAGAUGGCGGCAACAGCAUGAGGUGUCAGGAAAGCUUUGAAGCAAAGGGUGCAGCAGAAGAGGUGGUGAUGGAUUUUGCAGGAUGACACCUGUGUAUCUUUGGAAAUUACUCUUAACAACAUGUGGUUAGCCUGCCCAAAGUACCAGUACUAAACCAUAUAACUUCACAUGUGUUAUCUCAUUUGUCUUCCCCCUUCUCCCCCUGUCCACCAAACUCCCAUACUCCCAAACCCCUAGUCCUUAUAUAUGAGAAAUUUGUAAUUCCCAGAGUUCCGUUUCCUUAAAGAGAGUCCCAGGCCACCCGCAUUAGAAUAUUUUGGGGGUGUCUAUUAAAAAUCAGGUUCCAGGAACUUACCCUACACUUAAUAAUCAAGAAUCUCUGUAGGUGGAACCUGAGAGCCUAGAUGAUUCUAUGCAUCCCCAAGUUUGAGAAGCACUCUCAGAGAGGAGCGGUAACUUGUUCAAGGUCAAAAUAAGAGAGAUAACAUUUGAAUUUGCUGGUCUGUCUUGGAAUCCCAUGCUUUUCCCACUCACUCCACUUACAUAGUCCCAUCAUGUAAGGGAAGGAAUGGUCUCAUCAUCUAAGGAAAGGUGAGAGGCCACAUGCUGUCAACUAUUAUAUUAAUGUUUGACAUUUGAUGAAUAUUUUGAAGUUUCAAGGUGUUUUCCUCCAGCUUUCCCACUUAAUAAAGCAUAAUAUGGUUUGAUUA
RNAcentral lists this long non-coding RNA (1297 nucleotides) under Sus scrofa (pig). Its description in RNAcentral is "lncRNA (ENSSSCG00070023486.1)". The record is from RNAcentral. Lineage: Eukaryota; Metazoa; Chordata; Mammalia; Artiodactyla; Suidae.